Molecule: long non-coding RNA, 1000 nt
Organism: Helianthus annuus (common sunflower)
Lineage: Eukaryota; Viridiplantae; Streptophyta; Magnoliopsida; Asterales; Asteraceae
Exons: 3
Source: RefSeq, a predicted model, not a curated record
UCACAUUUUCCCCCAAAUUGAAAUCAGACCUGCCACAACCUAGUGCCACCACCACCACCACCCACCCCACCACCCACCACCAUCGGUUCAUCACCACCAAAAGACUGGUACAACAAACCCCAAAUUCUUUCCCUAAACCCUCAAACCACCACCUUUUUUUCUUCUCAGCCCGAAACUCACCACCACUUCCCUCGAGCUCAUGGUGCCAAGAAGAAUCCAUGAAAGAAAGGAAUCAAUGAAACUAAGAUUUGCUAGCAUCAAUUUAUUCAACCAAAUAGCAUCUGAUCAAUUCGAAAAGAAGAGAAGUGGAAAAUCAUACAUCAUAAAAACAAAGAAAAGAAGGCUCAGAUCCGUUUAGAAAGAAAGAAAGGGAGCGGGAGCAAGAGGAUUAUCUGCCAUGGCUGCAAAAAGAGAGGUUGCAAUGUGCAGAGCACUUCACCCUCCUCUGAUUUUUCCUUACCAAGCUACAUAUCAUCCCUAAAUCUUGUCCCAGUUUGAAGAAGUUGGAUCAGAAUACUAUCAUCACAGCCUUUAAAAGUUGUUAAAGAAUAUGAGGGGGUGGAGGUGGUUGUGGUGGAAUGAGGAUUACGAAGACGAAUAAACGUAACCCUAAUUUUCUUCCCCAAUUGGCAGGUAGUGCUUUUGUGAGAAAAUCAGCUGAAUCAUUGUGGGAUUGGACAUAUCUCAUCUUGACCUGACUGUCUUUAAUAAGGUCCCGAGUAUAUGCAAAGAAUCUUGGUGGUAUAUGUUUUGUUCUAUCAUUUUUGAUAUACACUUCUUUCAUUUGAGAGACACAAGCUACAUUAUCUUCGUGGAUAGGAGUUGGACUUCGAUCUUUCUCAAGCCCAUAAGAAGUCAAUAUGUGUUAUGACAUAGAUGUUUACCAUACAUGUUCUCUUGAAGCUUAAUGUAAUGCAAUGACUUCAACAUGGUUCGAGGAUGUCGCAACACGUGUUUGUUUCUGAGAACGACAUGAAAUCGUAGUUCCUCCAUUCAUAAA